RNAcentral lists this ribosomal RNA (488 nucleotides) under uncultured bacterium. RNAcentral describes it as "partial 16S ribosomal RNA". It matches the Rfam family "Bacterial small subunit ribosomal RNA", at positions 28 to 505 of the family's 1533-position model. The record is from RNAcentral.
GAUGAACGCUAGCUACAGGCUUAACACAUGCAAGUCGAGGGGCAGCAUGGUCUUAGCUUGCUAAGGCCGAUGGCGACCGGCGCACGGGUGAGUAACACGUAUCCAACCUGCCGUCUACUCUUGGACAGCCUUCUGAAAGGAAGAUUAAUACAAGAUGGCAUCAUGAGUCCGCAUGUUCACAUGAUUAAAGGUAUUCCGGUAGACGAUGGGGAUGCGUUCCAUUAGAUAGUAGGCGGGGUAACGGCCCACCUAGUCUUCGAUGGAUAGGGGUUCUGAGAGGAAGGUCCCCCACAUUGGAACUGAGACACGGUCCAAACUACUACGGGAGGCAGCAGUGAGGAAUAUUGGUCAAUGGGCGAGAGCCUGAACCAGCCAAGUAGCGUGAAGGAUGACUGCCCUAUGGGUUGUAAACUUCUUUUAUAAAGGAAUAAAGUCGGGGAUGGAUACCCGUUUGCAUGUACUUUAUGAAUAAGGAUCGGCUAACUCCG